AGGAAUUGACGGAAGGGCACCACCAGGAGUGGAGCCUGCGGCUUAAUUUGACUCAACACGGGAAACCUCACCAGGCCCGGACACCGGAAGGAUUGACAGAUUGAUAGCUCUUUCUUGAUUCGGUGGGUGGUGGUGCAUGGCCGUUCUUAGUUGGUGGAGCGAUUUGUCUGGUUAAUUCCGAUAACGAACGAGACUCUAGCCUGCUAACUAGGCGUCUCCGGUAUCCACAAUAGUGCUACCGGCGAAUAAAUUUCUUCUUAGAGGGACAGGCGGCUUCUAGCCGCACGAGACUGAGCAAUAACAGGUCUGUGAUGCCCUUAGAUGUCCUGGGCCGCACGCGCGCUACACUGAAGGAAUCAGCGUGUCUUCCCUGGCCGAAAGGUCCGGGUAACCCGUUGAACCUCCUUCGUGCUAGGGAUUGGGGCUUGCAAUUGUUCCCCAUGAACGAGGAAUUCCCAGUAAGCGCGAGUCAUAAGCUCGCGUUGAUUACGUCCCUGCCCUUUGUACACACCGCCCGUCGCUACUACCGAUUGAAUGAUUUAGUGAGGUCUUCGGACUGGUGCGCGGCGAUCGCCUCGUGUGGUCGCCGAUGUUGCCGGGAAGAUGACCAAACUUGAUCAUUUAGAGGAAGUAAAAGUCGUAAC
Molecule: ribosomal RNA, 644 nt
Filed under: Glossonotus acuminatus
Lineage: Eukaryota; Metazoa; Arthropoda; Insecta; Hemiptera; Membracidae
Description: SSU rRNA
Rfam family: Eukaryotic small subunit ribosomal RNA
Source: RNAcentral